Molecule: ribosomal RNA, 387 nt
Filed under: uncultured Rhodocyclaceae bacterium
Lineage: Bacteria; Pseudomonadati; Pseudomonadota; Betaproteobacteria; Rhodocyclales; Rhodocyclaceae
Description: bacterial SSU rRNA
Rfam family: Bacterial small subunit ribosomal RNA
Source: RNAcentral
UCCGAAGAGAUUUGGGAGUGCUCGCAAGAGAACCGGACACAGGUGCUGCAUGGCUGUCGUCAGCUCGUGUCGUGAGAUGUUGGGUUAAGUCCCGCAACGAGCGCAACCCUUGUCAUUUAGUUGUCCAUCAUUUGGUUGGGCACUCUAAUGAGACUGCCGGUGACAAACCGGAGGAAGGUGGGGAUGACGUCAAGUCCUCAUGGCCCUUAUGGGUAGGGCUUCACACGUCAUACAAUGGUCGGUACAGAGGGUUGCCAACCCGCGAGGGGGAGCUAAUCCCACAAAGCCGAUCGUAGUCCGGAUCGCAGUCUGCAACUCGACUGCGUGAAGUCGGAAUCGCUAGUAAUCGUGGAUCAGCAUGUCACGGUGAAUACGUUCCCGGGUCUU